RNAcentral lists this ribosomal RNA (484 nucleotides) under uncultured bacterium. Its description in RNAcentral is "partial 16S ribosomal RNA". It matches the Rfam family "Bacterial small subunit ribosomal RNA", at positions 30 to 507 of the family's 1533-position model. The record is from RNAcentral.
AUUGAACGCUGGCGGCAGGCCUAACACAUGCAAGUCGAGCGGAUGAAGGGAGCUUGCUCCUGGAUUCAGCGGCGGACGGGUGAGUAAUGGCUAGGAAUCUGCCUGGUAGUGGGGGAUAACGUCCGGAAACGGGCGCUAAUACCGCAUACGUCCUGAGGGAGAAAGUGGGGGAUCUUCGGACCUCACGCUAUCAGAUGAGCCUAGGUCGGAUUAGCUAGUUGGUGGGGUAAAGGCCUACCAAGGCGACGAUCCGUAACUGGUCUGAGAGGAUGAUCAGUCACACUGGAACUGAGACACGGUCCAGACUCCUACGGGAGGCAGCAGUGGGGAAUAUUGGACAAUGGGCGAAAGCCUGAUCCAGCCAUGCCGCGUGUGUGAAGAAGGUCUUCGGAUUGUAAAGCACUUUAAGUUGGGAGGAAGAGCAGUAAGUUAAUACCUUGCUGUUUUGACGUUACCAACAGAAUAAGCACCGGCUAACUUCGUG